RNAcentral lists this ribosomal RNA (253 nucleotides) under uncultured bacterium. RNAcentral describes it as "partial 16S ribosomal RNA". It matches the Rfam family "Bacterial small subunit ribosomal RNA", at positions 524 to 776 of the family's 1533-position model. The record is from RNAcentral.
UACGGAGGGUGCGAGCGUUGUCCCGAAUCAUUGGGCGUAAAGGGCGCGUAGGUGGCCCGGUCAGUCGAUGGUGAAAGCGCGGGGCUCAACUCCGCGUCGGCCGUCGAUACUGCUGGGCUUGAGCACUGUAGAGGCAGGCGGAAUUCCGGGUGUAGCAGUGGAAUGCGUAGAGAUCCGGAAGAACACCGGUGGCGAAGGCGGCCUGCUGGGCAGUGGCUGACACUGAGGCGCGACAGUGUGGGGAGCAAACAGG